GGCGUGCAUAACACAUGCAAGUCGAACGAUGGAACUUAGUAGACUUCUUCGGAAAGACACUAAGCGGAUUAGUGGCGAACGGGUGAGUAACGCGUGAGUAACCUGCCUUACACAAGGGGAUAGCCUUUGGAAACGAAGAAUAAUACCCUAUAAAACCAUAAAAGCACAUGCUAGAAUGGUCAAAGUGCUAGCGGUGUAAGAUGGACUUGCGUCUGAUUAGCUAGCUGGUGAGAUAAAAGCUCUCCAAGGCAACGAUCAGUAGCCGGCUUGAGAGAGUGUACGGCCACAUUGGGACUGAGACACGGCCCAGACUCCUACGGGAGGCAGCAGUGGGGAAUUUUGCACAAUGGGGGAAACCCUGAUGCAGCGACGCCGCGUGAUUUAGAAGGCCUUCGGGUCGUAAAAAUCUUUUGUAUAGGAAGAAAAUGACAGUACUAUACGAAUAAGGUCCGGCUAAUUACGUGCCAGCAGCCGCGGUAAUACGUAAGGACCGAGCGUUGUCCGGAAUCAUUGGGCGUAAAGGGUACGUAGGCGGCUAGAAAAGUUAGAAGUCAAAGGCUAUAGCUCAACUAUAGUAAGCUUCUAAAACUAUUUAGCUUGAGAAAUGGAAGGGAAAGUGGAAUUCCUAGUGUAGCGGUGGAAUGCGCAGAUAUUAGGAAGAAUACCUGUGGCGAAGGCGACUUUCUGGCCAUUAUCUGACGCUGAGGUACGAA
RNAcentral lists this ribosomal RNA (713 nucleotides) under uncultured Eubacteriales bacterium. RNAcentral describes it as "bacterial SSU rRNA". It matches the Rfam family "Bacterial small subunit ribosomal RNA", at positions 41 to 757 of the family's 1533-position model. Lineage: Bacteria; Bacillati; Bacillota; Clostridia; Eubacteriales. The record is from RNAcentral.